CCUACGGGAGGCAGCAGUAGGGAAUAUUGCUCAAUGGGGGAAACCCUGACGCAGCAACGCCGCGUGGAGGAUGAAGGUUUUCGGAUUGUAAACUCCUUUUGUUAGAGAAGAUAAUGAUGAUAUUUCACGAAUAAGCAGCGGCUAACUCCGUGCCAGCAGCCGCGGUAAUACGGAGGUGGCAAGCGUUACUCGGAUUCACUGGGCGUAAAGAGCGCGUAGGCGGGAGAGCAAGUCAGAUGUGAAAUCCUAGGGCUUAACCAUAGAACUGCAUUUGAAACUGUUUUUCUAGAGUAUGGGAGAGGUAGACGGAAUUCUUGGUGUAGGGGUAAAAUCCGUAGAGAUCAGGAGGAAUACUCGUUGCGAAGGCGAUCUGCUAGAACAUAACUGACGCUGAUGCGCGAAAGCGUGGGGAGCAAACAGGAUUAGAUACCCUAGUAGUC
RNAcentral lists this ribosomal RNA (440 nucleotides) under uncultured bacterium. RNAcentral's name for it is "partial 16S ribosomal RNA". It matches the Rfam family "Bacterial small subunit ribosomal RNA", at positions 338 to 795 of the family's 1533-position model. The record is from RNAcentral.